CGGACGGGUGAGUAACGCGUGGGUAACCUGCCUCACACUGGGGGAUAACAGUUAGAAAUAGCUGCUAAUACCGCAUAAGCGCACGGUUCCGCAUGGAACAGUGUGAAAAACUCCGGUGGUGUGAGAUGGACCCGCGUCUGAUUAGCCAGUUGGCGGGGUAACGGCCCACCAAAGCGACGAUCAGUAGCCGGCCUGAGAGGGUGAACGGCCACAUUGGGACUGAGACACGGCCCAA
Molecule: ribosomal RNA, 235 nt
Filed under: uncultured bacterium
Lineage: Bacteria
Description: partial 16S ribosomal RNA
Rfam family: Bacterial small subunit ribosomal RNA
Source: RNAcentral